GACUGGGAUAACUUCGGGAAACCGGAGCUAAUACCGGAUAAUAUUUCGAACCGCAUGGUUCGAUAGUGAAAGAUGGUUUUGCUAUCACUUAUAGAUGGACCCGCGCCGUAUUAGCUAGUUGGUAAGGUAACGGCUUACCAAGGCGACGAUACGUAGCCGACCUGAGAGGGUGAUCGGCCACACUGGGAACUGAGACACGGUCCAGACUCCUACGGGAGGCAGCAGGG
Molecule: ribosomal RNA, 227 nt
Filed under: uncultured Staphylococcus sp.
Lineage: Bacteria; Bacillati; Bacillota; Bacilli; Caryophanales; Staphylococcaceae
Description: partial 16S ribosomal RNA
Rfam family: Bacterial small subunit ribosomal RNA
Source: RNAcentral